This 382-nucleotide long non-coding RNA is filed under the name Sorghum bicolor (sorghum). RNAcentral describes it as "long non-coding RNA (SBIC_LNC010717)". The record is from RNAcentral. Lineage: Eukaryota; Viridiplantae; Streptophyta; Magnoliopsida; Poales; Poaceae.
GAGGACUUCACUCUCCCCGGCGGGAGGGGGGGUCGGGGCUCUGCCCUCUCCUAGCAUGGCACUAGCUGGGGGAGGCGUCCCCAUGGCCUCCUCAACCCUGGUCGGGCUGCCUGUCGUAGUCGGUGCCGCGGCCGGGAGCUCCUCGGUGCUCCCAGGCACGGCUGCAGCCGUAGGCUGCUUUGCGGUCUGCGGGGCCGCGUCUGCAGCAGCGCAGACUGGCUCACUCAUCCCCUGGCCAGCGGCAUGGCCGGGGUUGACAUCCGACGCCGUGCUAAAGGAACAAAAAUGCAAUAAAAAAAACAAAAAUCGCUGAAAUACGUAAGUCGAAGACUUACAGGUCUGAGCGACGGUGGGUCGCAGUGACCCUCCUCCUCAUCCGGCC